RNAcentral lists this ribosomal RNA (497 nucleotides) under uncultured bacterium. RNAcentral's name for it is "partial 16S ribosomal RNA". It matches the Rfam family "Bacterial small subunit ribosomal RNA", at positions 28 to 507 of the family's 1533-position model. The record is from RNAcentral.
GAUGAACGCUGGCGGCGUGCCUAAUACAUGCAAGUCGAGCGAACAGAUAAGGAGCUUGCUCCUUUGACGUUAGCGGCGGACGGGUGAGUAACACGUGGGUAACCUACCUAUAAGACUGGAAUAACUCCGGGAAACCGGGGCUAAUGCCGGAUAACAUUUAGAACCGCAUGGUUCUAAAGUGAAAGAUGGUUUUGCUAUCACUUAUAGGUGGACCCGCGCCGUAUUAGCUAGUUGGUAAGGUAACGGCUUACCAAGGCAACGAUACGUAGCCGACCUGAGAGGGUGAUCGGCCACACUGGAACUGAGACACGGUCCAGACUCCUACGGGAGGCAGCAGUAGGGAAUCUUCCGCAAUGGGCGAAAGCCUGACGGAGCAACGCCGCGUGAGUGAUGAAGGUCUUCGGAUCGUAAAACUCUGUUAUUAGGGAAGAACAAAUGUGUAAGUAACUGUGCACGUCUUGACGGUACCUAAUCAGAAAGCCACGGCUAACUAUGUG